AAACUUUCAAGAACAAAUCUCUUGGCUCUGGCAUCAAUAAAGAACGCAGCGAAAUGCGACAACGAAUAUGAAUUGCAGAAUUCAGUGGACCCAUCGAAUCUUUGAACGCACAUUGCGCCCCUUGGUAUUUUGAGGGGCAUGCCUGUCCGAGCGUCAUUG
Molecule: ribosomal RNA, 159 nt
Filed under: Farnoldia jurana subsp. jurana
Lineage: Eukaryota; Fungi; Ascomycota; Lecanoromycetes; Lecideales; Lecideaceae
Description: 5.8S ribosomal RNA
Rfam family: 5.8S ribosomal RNA
About the family: 5.8S ribosomal RNA (5.8S rRNA) is a component of the large subunit of the eukaryotic ribosome.
Source: RNAcentral